GACGAACGCUGGCGGCGUGCUUAACACAUGCAAGUCGAACGGUGAAGCGCCUUCCUUUUUGGUGGGUGUGGAUGAGUGGCGAACGGGUGAGUAACACGUGAGUAACCUGCCUCCUUCUUCUGGAUAACCGCAUGAAAGUGUGGCUAAUACGGGAUAUUCUGGGUCUGUCGCAUGAUGGGUCUGGGAAAGAUAUUGCUUCGGUGGGGGAUGGGCUCGCGGCCUAUCAGGUUGUUGGUGGGGUGAUGGCCUAGCAAGGCGGUGACGGGUAGCCGGCCUGAGAGGGUGGACGGUCACACGGGGACGGAUACACGGCCCAGACUCCGACGGGAGGCAGCGGUGGGGAAUAGUGCACAAUGGGCGCAAGCCUGAUGCAGCGACGCCGCGGGAGGGAUGGAGGCCUUCGGGUUGUGAACCUCUGUCGCCAGUGAAGCAGGCCUGCCUCGUAUGUGGGUGGGUUGACGGUAGCUGGAGAAGAAGCACCGGCUAACUACGUG
RNAcentral lists this ribosomal RNA (494 nucleotides) under uncultured bacterium. Its description in RNAcentral is "partial 16S ribosomal RNA". It matches the Rfam family "Bacterial small subunit ribosomal RNA", at positions 28 to 507 of the family's 1533-position model. The record is from RNAcentral.